CCUACGGGGGGCUGCAGUGGGGAAUAUUGCACAAUGGGGGAAACCCUGAUGCAGCGACGCCGCGUGAGUGAAGAAGUAUUUCGGUAUGUAAAGCUCUAUCAGCAGGGAAGAAAAUGACGGUACCUGACUAAGAAGCCCCGGCUAACUACGUGCCAACAGCCGCGGUAAUACGUAGGGGGCAAGCGUUAUCUGGAUUUUGUGGGUGUAAAGGGAGCGUAGACGGCAAGACAAGUCAGGAGUGAAAGCCCAGGGCUCAACCCUGGGACUGCUUUUGAAACUGCCGGGCUGGAGUGCAGGAGAGGUAAGCGGAAUUCGUGGUGUAGCGGUGAAAUGCGUAGAUAUUAGGAGGAACACCGGUGGCGAAGGUAGCUUACUGGACCGUAACUGACGUUGAUGCUCGAAAGCGUGGGUAGCGAACAGGAUUAGAUACCCCUGUAGUC
Molecule: ribosomal RNA, 440 nt
Filed under: uncultured bacterium
Lineage: Bacteria
Description: partial 16S ribosomal RNA
Rfam family: Bacterial small subunit ribosomal RNA
Source: RNAcentral